Nomascus leucogenys (northern white-cheeked gibbon) is the source of this 294-nucleotide non-coding RNA. It matches the Rfam family "Metazoan signal recognition particle RNA". From Rfam's summary of the family: The signal recognition particle (SRP) is a universally conserved ribonucleoprotein. It is involved in the co-translational targeting of proteins to membranes. The eukaryotic SRP consists of a 300-nucleotide 7S RNA and six proteins: SRPs 72, 68, 54, 19, 14, and 9. NCBI's taxonomy places the organism in Eukaryota, Metazoa, Chordata, Mammalia, Primates, Hylobatidae. The record is from Rfam.
GCUGUCAUGUGGUGUGCCUAUAGCUCCACCUAUUUGGGAGGCUGAGGUAGGAGGAUCACUUGAGUCUAGAAGUUAUGGCUAUAGUGUGCUCUGCCAACUAAGGGUCCACACUAAGUUCAGCAUCAAUAUGGUGACCUCCUGGGGGUGGAGGACCACCAGGUUGUCUAAAGAAGAGUGAAUCAGCAGGGGCAGAAACAGAGCAGGUCAAAACUCCCAUUCUGAUCAGUAGUGGGAUCACACCUGUGAAUAGCCAUUGCAUUUCAGCCUGGGCAACAUAGUGAGGCCCUGUCUCUU